This 39996-nucleotide long non-coding RNA is filed under the name Homo sapiens (human). Its description in RNAcentral is "non-protein coding lnc-TCP11-2:3". Lineage: Eukaryota; Metazoa; Chordata; Mammalia; Primates; Hominidae. The record is from RNAcentral.
AGGCCGCCCUGCUAGGGCCGGAGGGAGGUGGGCACGCCGGGCUCGGGACCUUCCCGGGGUCCUGCGCCCGCCCGGCCUCCCGCCCUGGGCAUGGUUGGCCCACUCCUCCCGCAGCCACCAACCUGACAGCCCCCGAGGGCGACUCCGCCGACAGACCGCCAUGCACCGGGCCCCGCCACCAGCGCCGGCCCCACAACCCGCCUGCGCCAUAGCCCGCCCGCCCGCGCGCAGCUUGCCUCGCGCGAUAUCCAGGUUCCAGGGCCGCCGCACUUUCCUUUCCUCUUGGCGCGCCUCUACCGGGCCCCGGAACCCGUAUAGAAAAUACCGGGCACGGUCCACCCCGCCCCCCGCUUCGCCGCGGCAGCCAUCCAACUUAUCCUGGUUCCGGGGCUCCUGGAGCCCAGGCGGCCGGGAUCUGAACCGAGCUCUUCGGAGCCCCGCCCCCACCAAGGCCGGGGUGACGCAUGGCCAGCGAGGCUGAGCGCCCAGGGAAGGCGUGCUGACGUCACGACGCCCGGGUCAGGGCCUGGGCGCGGCUCGGAGCCGGGUCGUCGCUAUAGCAAUCGGGAACCGCUACCUGUCCAUUCCAAGGAUUCGGUCCAGCAGAAGCGUGAGGAGGUGGCGGAGGCCCCGAGGGCUUUGCGUCAUCACUUCUGCGGCCUGCGGGCGAGAAGGUGCGCUUCGGGAGUAGCGCGGGAGGACAGGAGGCGCAGGUUGUGAGGGACGCAGGCCCUGGGGCUUCGGUCUCUGUCCUCCGAGCUCAGAGCCUCCAGGCUUCUUCCCGGCCGCGCGCUCAGCACUCACUGUCUUACGGUCCCGAAGCGCUUUAAGGUGCGCAGUCCGCAGGCCUUGCCUACUGAUCUUCCAGCCACCCCUUGAAGGAAGCAGUUGCAGGUAUUAAGAGCUCCUUAUUGAAAAGGACGAUGUAGAGGGGCGGUGAGGGACUCGCCUCCGCAGGGAGGGCGCCCUGGCGGUCUUCUCAGGUUCUCUCUCAUUCCCGCGUCAGCUCCACCGUCAGGCUCGAAACCGACUACUCCCUUUUGUAGGCUUGCUUUGGGUUGAACAUAAAAACCAAGCCCCUUUACUAUUUCCCUGCUGGGAGGGGCUGCGAUUGGGAAAUUUUCAGAAACCUGAGGGAAAAUUAAAAGGGAGCGAGCUUUCGGUAAAAAAUCAAAUUAAAAAGGAGGGGCGUUAGAGAAGGAACUGGUAAAGAUUGCCUUUUAGGAGAGGAACUGGGUGGCUGGAAGAAUGAGGUGAGAAACUUUCCCCUCUCUAUCCUUUCAGACUUUAACUGGUUUCUUUUGUAUCUUCCCCGCCCCGAAAACAAUUUAACUUAAUAAGAAUAAUUUUUAAAGGACGUAAACUAGACACAGUUACAAAGUACGGGGUUUGGGGCUUGUGGUAGCUAAAGGUGUCUUUGGGGAUGCGGGCAUCCUUUUCCUCUCCUGCCUGAAGAGCUUAACUAGAAAGCCCCCCUUUCGGUCUUAGACAUCCCCUCUUCCUGACUUGUUCUGGCUGGGACCAGAGUUCAGUUUAGGUAGGCCAGUGAGUGACAUUUGAUGGUUAGAAUUCCUACGGUUAGAAUUAAUCCCUUCUGUAUCUCCUAGUAUGGAAAUAAACUGCCUGGCCACUAUGCUGCCCUCUUUCCAUUCCUUUUUGGUGGAAGUUUGACAAGUUAUUUCCCAUAGAAAAUAACUUAUAGGCCGGGCGCCGUGGCUUAAACGCCUGUAAUCCCAGCACUUUGGGAGGCUGAGGCGGGCGGAUCACGAGGUCAGGAGUUCGAGACCAGCCUGGUCAACAUAGUGAAACCCCCCCUCUCUACUAAAAAUACAAAAAAAUUAGCUGGGCGUGGUGGCGGGCGCCUGUAAUCCCAGCUACUCCGGAGGUUGAGGCAGGAGAAUUGCUUGAACCCGGGAGGCGGAGGUUGCAGUGAGCCAAGAUCGCACCAUUGCAGUCCAGCGCGGGCAACAGUGUGACUCCGUCUCAAAAAAAGAAAAAAAAAAAGAAAAAGAAAAAGUACCUUAUAGAUACAGAGAGAAGAUUAAGUAGCUCCUCUUAUAAUAUGAAUUGAGGGUUAGAAAUACCGCAGGGAAUAGAACUCAGGCUGUACCUGAGUUUGUCCCUCUCCAACCACCCUUUUUCCAUAGCUCUCUCUGUAUAUAUAUAUCUGUCUUUUCUCACAUUCCUUACGGAUCGUAAUCUGAUGGCCAGUCACCUCUGCAAUUAUACAUUUAACAAGAGCUCUGGGAAACAGUGUCUGAAUCUGAAGUAAUGAUCCUAAUGGAAGGUAAUUUCAGGUUCUCAGGAGAAUUGGUGAGGAUAUUUUGGAGGGCAGUAUUGAAGACCAUUGCUAGCAGUUUCUCUCCUAUCCCUUCCACUCAACAUAUAGGCUGGUGAUCUUCAGACAUUUUUUAGAAUGAACCCAUAAAAGAAUUUUGAAGAGCUAUGUACCUCUUGUUCAUUUUUAAGUUGAUACCUAAAUUUUCCUUCAUUAAUUUAAAUACUUAUAGAGGAUACAAUUUCAAAUUUUGACAUCUUAAACUAAGACUUACAUCAUUCUUUUUUUCUGAGACGGAGUCUCGCUCUGUCAACCAGGCUGAGAUCGUGCCACUGCACUCUAGCCUGGGCUACAGAGUGAGACUGUCUCACAUUAAAAAAAAGUAUCCGGUGGAUUCCAAGUACCCUAAAAAUCUAAUGCCUACCAUCAUCCACUUAAAAAUAUAUGAACAAGCUCUUCAACAGAAAUUUUAUAUGGUUCUCUUUCUCCUUAUACUUUGAAUUCCAUUCACUUCCUGUAAUCAUUAGUAUAUAACUUACUAAACUUUUUUUUUUUACUAAAUAUUACUAAAUACUAAAUUUUCCUAAAUAUUUUUAACAUUUUUAUGACUUGUGAAACCUAAAAAGUACAAUUUUUAUUGAAAAUGCAUCUGUUAAUGAGAAAUAUGGUGUUUCUCCCCAAUUAGUUCAGGUAUUCAUGGAUUAAUAUUACCUAAUGGUAGAAGGAGAUAAGGUGCAACAUCAAUCCUUUACCUGUUUUUUAUUUUUAUAGACAUGAGUAUUGAGAAACCUUGUUUCCACAAUUGGGAAAGGAAGAGAUUUGUUACAAUGAUAUUCUUUGAGUCUUUGAACUUCUAAAUUAUAUGCCAACAAUCACAGAGUGAUCUAUUAAUACUAUCAAAUAGAGUCUUCUUUUAAUUUUGUUAAAAGCAAAGGAUUAGAAACCACUGAACUUCCAAAAGGAUUUAGUUAUUAGAGUCUCAGUUUUGGUUUUAUUAAACAUGAUUAUUAAUUAUCUGUGACCUUUACACUCAGAGACACUUUGUUAAUCAGAUAUUGAUUUCCAUACUUCUUUGCCUACACAAUAUUUUUUGGUAAAAUUCUUUAAUUAUUACAUGUCUUCAAGAACUUUUUGUUAAACUGAAAUGCAGAUUCAGCUCAUUCACUGUAUAGAAAACAACUGCCAUUUGUGGAAUUGGCAAAGCCAGUUUUCAUUUCAAACCAAUCAGCCAAAUCAGACCUACUUUCUGUUAGAAACAUGUCUGACUUUAUUCUUCCAUUCAAAUAAAUAUGUUAACAUUCAUUUUGAGGAAUAUUAUAAAAAUUAUUAGGAAAUAAAUGAUUAACUAUAGCUUAUAAAAUGGACCACUGAUAAACCAGUCAAGAUUAAAAUUAUUUAGACCUACUAUUAACAUAAUAAAUGGUAAAAAUAAGAUAGUACUGUUUUUCAUUAUAUAAUUAGGAAUAAUGCUGUAUAAUGUAUAGUUAAAUCCAUCAGUUUUGAGAAGUCAUAUAGAAGGCAUAUAUUCCCUUGGUAAAUGUGUGUGCCUGCUUUCAUCAAACUCUUGUUGUUCAGCUUUUGGGAACAAUUAAAUGAGAAUCAUGUCUAAAAAUCAGAAAUAACUAAUAAUCUUGUUACACAAAUUUUUUUCUUCUGUAUUUUUUAGAAAGGAAAGCUGUAUUUGCUAAGAAAUAAUGAAUUGAGCAGCUAGCAAUUUCACUUUUUACUAGGAGGUAGAAAAUAAUAAACAUUUUAUAUAAGAUAAAAUAGGAAGACUGAUUGCAAUGGGAAUAUUUUGAUAUGAAGUGGAAAAUAAUUGCUCCCUCCAAGCUCCUCAGGUUUUUACACCCUGGACCAUGCAUCAAGAUUCAGUGUAGGGGAGAGACAUUCCUUUCUUUUGUAAAGUAGGACAAGGACUAUGGUGAAAGUGGGGGCAGUGGUAGAGUGGAGAAUGUGCAUGAAUAUGUCAGCUGGCUCCCAAAUGGAUUGGUUUUUAGAAUUUUUUUUUUUUUUUUUUUUUGAGACGGAGCCUCGCUCUGUCACCCAGGCUGGAGUGCAAUGGCAUGAUCUCAGCUCACUGUAACCUCUGCCUCCCGGGUUCAAGCGAUUCUCCUGCCUCAGCCUCCUGAGUAGCUGGGAUUAUAGGCGCGUGCCACCACGCCCGGCUAAUUUUUGUAUUUUUAGUAGAGAUGGGGUUUCACCUUGUUGGUCAUGCUGGUCUCAAACUCCUGACCUUGUGAUCUGCCUGUCUUGGCCUCCCAAAGUGCGGGGAUUACAAGCAUGAGCCACUGUGCCUGGCCGUUUUUUUUGUUUUUGUUUUUGUUUUUUGAGAUGAAGUUUUGCUCCUGUUGCCCAGGCUGGAGUGCAGUGGCACGACCUCGGCUCACUGCCACCUCCGCCUCCUGGGUUCAAGCGAUUCUCAUGCCUCAGCCUGCCAAGUAGCUGGGAUUACAGGUGCCUGCCACCACGCCCGGCUGUUUGUUUUUUUUUUUUUCUGAGAUGGAGUCUUGCUCUGUUACCCAGGCUGGAGUGCAGUGGCCCAAUUCAGCUCCCUGCAACCUCCCCUUCCUGGGUUCAAGAGAUUCUCCUGCCUCAGCCUCCCAGGUAGCUAUAAUUACAGGUGUGCACUGCCACACCCGGUUAAUUUUUGUAUUUUUAGUAGAAAUGGGGUUUCACUAUGUUGGCCAGGCUGGUCUCAAACUCUUACCUCAGGCGAUCCGCCCGCUACAGCCUCCCAAAGUGCUGGGAUUACAGGUGUGAGCCAGUGCACCCGGCCUGGUUUUAGAAAAUAUUUUAUAGGGAAGUUGAGGAUCUGGAAAUUUAUUCCUUUAAAACUCUCCUCAGACUGAUUUGAGGCUAUUUCCUGGGUAUUCCUUGCAGUCUUACGUACCCUAGGAAAAAUCUUCAUUUACCCCACUUGGAAGACUUCUUAAUAUAGGCAUAUCCAAACUCCAAUGUCCCUGACUAUCCAUUAUUUUGAGACACCAAAGCAAAUGUCCUACGAAGUAAGGAGGAAGACGUGUUGUUCUUAGAAUAGAAGUGAGUUAUGAGAGAAGUCAAAGAGGAUGGCUCCAAGUUGGUAUAGUGUGAAGGUCAUGGAUAUGGUCCUUGGCUUUGCAGUUCUAGAAGUGUGAUUUUGGGUCAGUCCACACAAAGGUGUUCAUGUUUUGUCACAUUAAAUCAAACUCAUAGGAAGUUAAUGUACAUAAUAGAAUGCCAGUGCAUUCUUUUAUACUUACAGCCACCAAGUGAACUGGAUUAUCGCUCCUGUUGGGUAAAUCUUAUCUGGGAAGAUCAAUUAUAAUCAGAAAGUUACAUGAGGAGUGUGGAUCUUGAGCAUGGCUAUUGUCAAUAAGCUGAUGAGCAGGUGCUCACUACCUGGCAUAUAAUAGGAUCUCAGUAAUUAUGGAAUGAAUGUACUUCAUCUGUAUCUUCAUUAUAGAUGCUAAAGGGUAAGUUUAAGAUUCUGAUAGGCCACCCCACAUGUUUUUUGAUCAGGUAGAUUUUUCCUUGUUGCUCAAGUUAUACUCUUAAAUGGCUAUAUCAUGUAGAUAUUAAAUCCAAUAAAAUUUCAUGAAAGGGAAUUAUAUAAUUGCAACAGCAAAGUUUUAUCUAUAUCUCUGAGCCUAGAAAUUGGGACUGUUCAUUUAUAAUAGAGAUUGGAGAUUGCUUUCUCCUGCCCUGUAGGAGUAGUGAUGGUGGUAGUGACUAAAUGAUCUGUAUUUCACAAUACUAUUUGGUGGCUAAGAGUGUACUGCAUACAAAGAAUGACACUGGGUGACCCUCAGUGCUGGCGCUUUCCUAGAGGUGGGACAUCCUGAGUAGGGAGGUGCUGAACCACCUGUGGGCUGGCCAGCUGUUGUGGACUGUACUGUGGAGAGGAGGAACAAUAAAUUUCCCCCACUCCUUAGAUCCCCCUCAGGAGAUAAUACUUGAUGCUGCUUUUAAGGACAGAGAAAAGACAAGCCUUUUCAAAUUUUAAAAUCAUUAGGGAUGAGUUGCCAAAAAAUUUGGGUUAAGUUUUAUCUGGAAGCCAGAAGACAUUGUCUCCUCAAGGCUUUUUCUGGCUCUGGGAUAAGCUAUUGAGAUAGAGGAAAAGAUGCCGGGCUGAGGAGUUUCAUUUAGUAUUUUAAUAAUAAUAAAAAAGACAUACAAAAUCCAAACAUUUCUUUUUACAAUUCAGAUACAUAUUUUUCCCCAAGUGCAAAAUACUCUAUGAACUGCAUCAUUUGCUGUUUAUUGUCGAUUGUAUAGGAGAUGCUUACUAAAUUGGCAGCAGUGGAAGGCAGAUAUAAAUACAAUAUUUUGAAAUUUCUUCUGCAUUUAACAAAAAGCCUCCCACAUGGCGAUGAUUAUUCUGAAACUUGAGUUCAGCUCACACAGAAGUAUAAAGUUUUCAGUUUGUUCAAACUGCUACAACCUGUGGUGUCUAAAAAAGCUGAUGACAACUGGGGGUUCUAUUCCUUCUAAUCAUAUAUUUCCUUGUACAAAUAAUGGCACAAGGAUAGGGUGUGCUACUUUUGAGACGGGUCAAAUGUAAAAAUAUCCUUGUGUUGUUCGCUCCCACUUUUAUUGUGCUUAAGAAAGAAACCUGGAGGGUUAACAUUUUCUGCUUAUGCUCAGUUAUACUUUGUCUUGGUACCCCUUGUUUGUGGCUGUAAUAUUGAGGUUAAGCAGCAAAUACAAAAGUUCGAGUGCUCUAUAACGUUUUCUGACAUUUUGAGAUAUGACCUCAUAAUCCAUUCCAGAGUCACCUCAAACAUGUAUAUAGAGAACACUUCUCAUAUAAAAAGUUUCUCUAGGGCCAAAGACCAGGACUGUGUUACUGAACUUUCAGCAACAAAUCUGAGUCUCCACCACCUCAAACUGACCAAAUCUUGGGGGCUGUUAAAGCAGUCACAGCUCAGUGCCAGCCUUUGGGGAUUUCUAGGCCUGGAGCAGGCAGCUCAGAUCCAGGAUCUGGUCAGUUUUCUUCUGACUCCAAGAGUUGUCUCAGGUUGUAGGAAUAGGCAUGGCCUGAUAAUAUAGAAAGAGGGAGGCAGAGAAGUAAAGAGGAACUGCCAUGUUGCUGAGGAUAUAAGUGCCUUUCUGGUGUGCAUUACUUGGUGCGUGAAGCCCUCCCAUUUCCAGGCUCAGAGCAGGUGAGGUUUUGUACUAAGAUGAAUGGAAGCCCCACAAUACUGUCGCCCCACACCCUACACGCUGCAGAGAGGCCUCUGGGUUGCUUCAUGAAGGGAUCCUAUUUAUACCAUCUUUCCAUUUCCCUCCAAUGGUAAAAACCUCUCUUCUGUCUGACCUGUAAAGACCUAGAAUGUCCCUGAGCGUUGACUCCUCAUUCAAUCCAGUUAACCCCUAGUUUGAUGUCCCAGGGCCAGCCUCCUCCAUAGAUUCAGCAGCAGCUUUGCCUGGGUUCUUAACCCUCCAACUUGGAGGACCUAAAUUAAACUUGGUGGACAAUAGCAGGUUUUUACCUGCUCACCAAGAUCUGCCUUGACAUCAAUUAAGAAGCCUAGUGGUCUAUGCCUUCCGUACUGUGGAACUCAUUUGCAGGUCUCAUAAGCCAUGGAAUAAAUGGUUGAAGGAUGUGUAUUUGUAUGUAUGUAUGCAUGGUGUGACAGGAAAGGAAGGGAGAAAGGAGAAGCCAGACCCUGAAGGCAUAAAUUAAGAAGCAUGGUCACCGUUUGGCUUUCCAAGAGACGCAAAACGGCUGGCAGAGAGGAAUCAGAAAGUUAUCCUAGGCUGGGCGCGGUGGCUCAUGCCUGUAAUCCCAGCACUUUGGGAGACUGAGGCGGGUGGAUCACCUGAGGUCAAGAGUUCAAGACCAGCCCGGGCAACAUGGUGAAACCCCAUCUCUACUAAAAAUACAAAAAUUAGCUGGGCGCGGUGGCGCAUGCCUGUAAUCCCAGCUACUUGGGAGGCCGAGGCAGAAUUGCUUGAGCCUGGGAGGCGGAGGUUGCAGUAGGCCGAGAUAGCACCAUUACACUCCAGCCUGGGUGACAGAGCGAGACUCCAUCUCAAAAAAAAAAAAAAAAAAAAAGAAAGAAAGAAAGAAAGUUAUCCUAGCUUCUGGUGGAGAAUUAGGAUAGUCAGAGUUGAUUAAAGCAGUUUUCAUGGUGCUUCCUGGGAAGUACAGAGACACUCAUACUAAAUGACCAUUUCCCUUGUUUGGAAGCAGCCAUUUUGCAUCUUUACAGUGGCCCUCCUUGACCCAGAAAGACAAAGGUAGCCAGACACUCUACCCACAAGGACCAUGAUGUUGGCUAAUGGUUGUCAGGGAAUCUAGCUGUGUCAUUGGCUACCUACUGCUAUGGCCGUUUUGGCUGAUGAAUGCUACUGAUGGGAGGGCAGGGAGUCAGACUCCUUUAUUUAGUGUUGAGUCUCCUGGGGGAGCAGUAGCCUAGGACAGUCACCUAGAAAUGAACCUGAGCUGUUCUGUGAGUUACCAGGAGAGUUAAAAAGAAAAAAAAAAAAAAAAGAAAUGAACCUGAGGACUCAGUUGGUAGCCUUUGAUUGAUUGGGACUACAGCUUUGGGGGAACUAGAGUGAGAAAACAGAAAAUAAUUUUAUAGGCAACACUUGGAUUAAGGGCAGAAUGUGUGCAGGCUUUGGGCUUGGGCAUGGACUUGAUUCUUCUUCCAUUUGAUUCUUUCUUCCUUCUGAAAAACAGUAGUUGAGGAAGCUAAGCUUGAAGUCAACUUCAAAGGGAAGUGACCAGAGCCAGGCAAAUAUCUGAUGCCUUCUGUCUUAUUCUUGGCUCCCACAGCUUUGUCUCUGGCCUCGGGACCCUGAGUCAGCCCAUCCCCAGGUGGUAUGUCCUGGUCCUCUUCCAUGUGUACACCAGGGGAUAACAGGAUGAAGACAGGGAAAAGAUGGAGGUUUUCCCUACUUGGGGUAGAGAAUCACUGACCAGUUCCAUUGGCCUCUAUAAUCAUGAGGUCCACACUGACUCCAUGGAGAGGCAUAGGGAUAGCAAGAUUGGUUUAGCAAACAUAGGUCUCUCUCCUUUCUGCUCCAUCAAAUCCCCAGAAUUACUUUCCUACACAUCAGAUGCCUCUGCGCAAUUACCCUGGAUUACCACAGCCAAGGGCUCUAGGUGGCCAGUGGUGGCAUAGAGACAGAUCAGAUGCUCCAGCACUCAAGGUUCAUGAGAUUCAAAACCGAUUUUCUUCCACUCCAAACAUACACUCUUUUCUCUUGGGCAGCUAUAAAUAGGGUUUUGCUAAUAGAGGAAGAAGAAACAAAAACAAAAAACAAACCCAGAAAACAAAAACCCCUCCGUCUAGACAACAUAGAAAGACUCAAAAUGAUUGCACUUAUUAGGUGUGGACAGGGUGGGCAGGAGGCUCGCCAAGUGCACACACAUUCCUUUUGCUGCCCACAGCCUGAGGCCAGAGGUAGGUGGCUCCAGGCUGGCUUCAGAGUGGGGUCCUCUUUGGUGAAGCCCACAAGCCAGCUGGGGCUACAAGGGAAAAACAACUGUAGGGCAAGGCCUAGGCUGGCUUCAGGUCAAUAACCAUGUUUAAGGACAACAUGUAGCAAGGGGAGUAGGGCUCCCCCAGGGAGCAUCACAUGGGGCUGAGGAGGUGGCUGGGCCAGGGAAGACAAGAAAAGGGAUUAGUGUUUGAAGUUGACUUCCAAUUGUUCUGUGUCUAGUCCUUUAGAUGAUACAUUUUUUCUUUCUGUUUUCUUUUUUUUGGCAAUGCUUUAAAACCUUGUUUCUGUCCUGCAGAGUUACAGUCUUUCUCUCAGGGAGCUACAGCGGGGCAUUCACCAUGACAAUGCCUGCUGCUCUUCCUCAUUUAGCCGGUGUCCACUAACUCAGUGUUGUGGGCCAUUUGUAAACCCUUAUGGAGUAGACCCCAGGCAGACGUAGGGAAAGAAAGAGAGGAUCUGUAUAGACAAGAAAGCUGGCCAUGUGGGAAGUCCAGAGCUCAAACCAUGUGCCCCAGAGGACUGGUGCUGGCAUUAAGCCUGUAAAUCAAAGGCUUCUUUGGCAGGACCCUGGGCUGUUAGAAUCACCCUAGGGAGCAGAGCCAGGGGACAUUUUGGCCCCUGACUAGCAAGGCACAACCCUAUAAUGGCAGAAGCCCUUCUUUCCCCUCCCCGUUUCCCACCAGACCCACUUCCUUGAUGGGCCUCUAGCACCCUUCCAAGCUGAUGGGGUCGGGAAUGUGAGCUGGUAAAAUGGGCAGUGGAAGGGGCUGUACUGUUUCUUUACAUCUCACGGGGACUAGAGCCAGUACUGAAUGGCUUUUCUAGGUAGUGUGUUAGAAAAGGGGGAACAGUAGAGAGGCAGGCAGAGAGAGACAAGGAAAGGAAACUAGAAAGACAGAAAGGGAGAGUGCCUGGUUUGUGUAGUGAUAUUUUUUUUUUCCCUCCAAAAAGAGAGGAGAGAGUUCCUUGUCUGAGGGUAGGGGGCUGCCGGCUCUGAGGGCUAAGGAGUCUGGGGGCUUAAAAAAUUGGGUCUCUGAGCCUAGGGUUACUAUUUGUAGGGCCUCAGGAAGCUGGAAACUUUGGAGCGGAGCAGCUUGAUGAAGGAUUUUGGCAGCAUCUCCUUGUGUUUCUCUGUGUACUUGAAGUAGUUCUGGGGGUGGGCUAGCACCUCAAAGAAGGCCUUGAUGAGCUUCUUGUCCUGCAAAGGAUGGCAGGGAGCAAUGUCAGCCUCACCGUCGGGGGUGGGAAAGAGAAACACCAUGACUCAGCAGCCCUUCUUGAUGUCUACUAGGCAUCCUAUACUGAAUAUAUCCAGAGGGCAACUCUGGAUUCCCAUUCCCACCAUCUGCCCUUAUUCUGGAAUUCCACAACUGAAUCAGUGGCAGCUCCAUCCUUCUGUUGCUUAGGCCCCAAUCCUUGGAGCCAUCCUUGAAUCCUCUUUCUUGCUUACAAGUAUAGCAAAUCCUAUUGACUCUACCUUCAAAAUAUGUCUGGGUCUGACCACUUAUCAUCUUCCCAAGCCACCACUGUCUCUGACUUGGAGUACUGUAGUAGCCUCCUAACUGGUCUCCAUGCUACCUUUGUCCCUCCGUAGACUCUUCUCCCCACAGCAGCCAGAGUGACUUUUUGUGUUUUUAAUUAGUUCAUCUUUUUCCUGUUUGAAACUCUUCUCUGGUUUCUUUUAUCACUCAUUGGCAGAAUGUGAUCUGUAUCUUGCUUUCCACCUCCACUCUUGCUCCCUCUGCUGAGCCACACUGGCCUUCUGGAGGUUCCUGAACACACUAAAUUGCUCCCAUGCUCCUUAGCUUGGAAUGCUCCUCCCUCAUCUUCUAAUGGGGAGCCCUUUUACCUCAUUUGGGUCUCUUCUCCUUAGAGGCCUUUCCUGACCACCCUGUCUACAACAGUAGCAUGGUAUGUGGAGAGCCUACUAGGUGCCAGGCACUGUGCAUUAAAACUCAGGUCUUCUGGCUCCUAGGCUGGUGCUCCUUCCAUGGCGUCAGUGGAUUUUUCAAAUAAGAAGUAGGGGUUUCAGCCUCUUACCCCACUUUAAUCAGAACAGCUGCACUGCUUUAUGUGUUGGAAUUCCACAGUACAUUUGAUUUGAAAUAAGGGUUCAGAUGCUUUAAAAAUGUUUGAAAAGUAUUAUUAAAAGUAUAUUCUUUGAAGUCUGCAAGUUCUAGGUGAUUUUUGUUGUCAAGGCUUUUAUUUUGAUGAUAAUAUAAAAAUAUUUUGCUAACACUUAACUUUUUUGCAGUGAUAAUUUAUGAAGGAUAAUUCUAUGACUACGACUAUAGUUUCCUUUUUUUUUUUUUUUUGAGACUGAGUCUAACUCUUGUUGCCCAGGCUGGAGUGCAAUGGCAUGAUAUCAGCUCACUGCAACCUCUGCCUCCCCGGUCCAAGCAAUUCUCCUGCCUCAGGGUCCCGAGUAGCUGGGAUUGCAGGCGCCCGCCACCACACCCAGCUAAUUUUUUGUAUUUUUUUAGUAAAGACGGGGUUUCACUAUGUUGGCCAGGCUGGUCUGGAACUCCUGACCUCAGGCGAUCCACCCGCCUCAGCCCCCCAAAGUGCUGGGAUUACAGGCAUGAUCCACCAUGCGCAGCCAGACUAUAGUUUCUUAAGGAAGAUUUUCUUAAAUUGGGAUUCACCGACCCAGGGCAUCUAGUCCAUUCUUCCAUGUUGGAAGUAUUUAUUUUCCUUGAAAAGAAGUCUGUACAUAAAUUGAUUCUGAGAAAGCUGUGCUAGAUCUGCCGCUGCUUUUUUUGUUUUUGUUUUUUUGAGACAGGGUUCACUCUUGUCACCCAGGCUGGAGUGCGAUGGCGCCAUCUCGGCUCACUGCAACCUGCGCCUCCUGAGUUCAAGCAAUUCUCCUGCCUCAGCCUCCUGAGUAGCUGGGAUUACAGGCGCCUGCCACCGCACCCGGAUAAUUUUGUAUUUUUACAAAAUUAAGACGAGGUUUCACCAUGUUGGCCAGGCUGGUCUCAAACUCCUGACCUCAUGUGAUCCACCCGCCUCGGCCUCCCAAAGUGCUGGGAUGACAGGCGUGAACCACCACACGCAGCCUAUCUGCUGCUGCUUAAUGAGGCCUGGGGAGAGAAUAGGGGAAGGAAGGGACUUAUGCAAAAGUAUCUUUCUAUACUUCACUUUCCCUAUGUCUCUUGGAAGAGGUAGGGACAUUUCUUCUCCUCACUUUCCCUUUCUCUUCCAAGUUUUCCCCAAGGUGUAAUAUAGUGUGGGUGACGCUGCAGUCGGAUAGGCUUGGGCUCAAAUCCCAGCUUCCCAUGGGGCAGGUUCUUUAACUCUCUAUACCCCAGUUUUCCCAUCUGUAAAGAAGCAAUGGAGAAAGCACCUACCUCAUAGAGCUAUUGUGUCUAUCAAGUGAGAAUAUUCAUGUAAGCACUUAGCCUAUUGCCUAUAUAUUGUUACAUGCUUAUUAAAUGUUAGCUAUCAUUAUUGUUAAUAUUCAUUCACCUUUAAAAUCUCCUGGUGGUUUUCAGAGGCAUAGAGCCGGCCAUCUCGCACAAUGUCUUCUACCAGCUGCUCAUAGUCCUCUGCAAAGUCAACCAAGGUGAGGGGCUCAGGGGCGGGAGCUCUUCCUGCUCUCCUGGUUCCCUCUCAAAACUGACAUACCUCCCCUUCUCACCCACCUCCUUGGCUUACCAUCAUAGGUAACAUAGGGAAUCUGGAAGCCACGGGCGCUGUUGGCCUCGCUUGUCUUGAAGUUGAUCCAGAGCUUCCUGGAACGGGCAGUGAAGGCAAUGGGACGCUCGUAGGUCUGGCAGGUCAGUAGAGCAGCAGGGCAGGCUACCCAAGCCCUCCUAGAACGUGGGCUGUACAGCUGGUGGUGGGGGUAUAGGGCAAGAGAAUCAUUCUGACAAAGGCUCCCCCUUCGCAUACACACACCCUACCCCACACCCUCUCCCAUUGCCCACUGGGCUCAUUCCACAAUUCCUCCUUGAUACCUGGGCACUCACAUAGUGUAAUAAAUAUGACAUUUAAAUGAAUGGAAUGGCAAAAAUGCUAGGAUAGGAAAGUGAUACAUGUAACGCCAUUGGAGUUCUAGCCCCACUGCUAGCUUUCUUAACUCUGUUUUCUACCAAACAUGUGUCAUUGCUGUUUUCCUUUGUUAGCUUCUCUCUUCCUAAAGGCCUCUCACUAUUUCACCCUCAUAGAUCCCUAACUUCACUGCCCCAUUUCUUCCUGUAUCAGUCUCUCUCUUUGUUCUCCGCCUUAACCAGAUUUGGACUGCCCUUCCCUGGCCCAGCUCUGCAAGCCACCCACAGUUCUUUCUCAUGACGAGGACGUCCCCACACUCAUCCUCAGAUGGCAGGAAGAUCUCUGGUACCACGAUAAGGAUCUUGCGCUUGGGUGGGGGGUUGAUGUUCCAGAUGCACUCCACACCAGCUGGGUAGUUGCCCGGGUAGUUGGGGGACUCAAUAUAGCCAGUGAACUCACCCAGCUCCCCACCACACUGACGAUCUGCAGCCAAACCCCAGUGGAUAAAACAAGACAGAGAAGGGAAGUCAGUGGGGAAGUGUGCUGGGGGAAUUGAAGAGUUCUGAAGUAGAGGUCAGACAUUUAUGGGAAGUCUGCGUUCUAGUUCAUCAUUAUUUUCCAAGCUCUGAGUCCAUCUUCCUUCCUGCCCUUUUAGUACCUUCUCUUCUCACUUCACCUGUCUCUGCUUCCUCAUUAACUGUCUCCAGGGAGAGGGUGUUACAGGGUCCAGCCUAGCAACUGGCCUUGAGAUUGAGUGAGUUGGGGAGAGGUGGAAGGUGGAGUUUUCCUGCUCCUCCACCCCCCAGCCCUGCUCCCUGUUGGUUUCACACCCCUCCUUUAGAUGUCCACUGCUCCCAGGCCUCUCUCCUCCCUUUUGCACAGCCUGGCUUGCCACGUACUCUUGCAUUGGGCCACACUGGUAGAGCCAUCAAAGUCUGUGCUUGUGUUUCCUGGACAGCGGCUGCAGAAGUUCUGACGGAAGUCGGGCUGAUAGGAGCCCAUGGCACAGCGAAUACAGCGGUGGAUGCUGGUGUUGUAGUAGUGCCCUGGGGAGCACUGGACUGUAGGCAAGGGAGAAGGGCAGGAAUCAAGAUGGUAGGCAGGUGGGAGUUACGGGGCAUGGGAUGGACAGGAUACAUUCAUCCUGGAGAAUCAGGAGAUCAGAUACAUCAAAGUUCUUUUCUAGGGUCUCAAUCUUUCCCAGUCAUGCCAGAAUUUAAGCCCACGGAAAAACAGAGUUUACAGAGUGGUUGGCUACAGUGCCAAUCCUUUUCUUUCAGACGCUGAGCACAGUGCCAAACCUAUAUAGAAACUCAUUUGGGAUAUGGAGGAGAAUAUGCCACCAGUUCUCCAAAGUGGAGAGGUGAAGCCAUGCCUCCCUUUCCCUCACCUGUGUAAACUGGGUAUGAAGACAGAGGACACCAGGAAAGAAGCCAGAGAAAGAGGAACAGUGAUGAAGGUAAGGAUGGAGAUUGGUCACAUUGGUCGGAUAGGUAACUGGGGGUUGCAGCUGGUUGCAAUGAGCAGCCAGGGAAUGUAGGAACCUGGGAAGUGGCUCUGGGUGCAGGCAGAGCUAUGGCCAUGGUGCUGAGGUUGGAGGGGCAGGGUGGGGAAAGGCAGCUGAGCCUCACCUCCUUGUGGAGCAGGGACCAUUUCUGUGGACAGGCCACAGCCCUGUCCUUCCUCCCCUCCCCCCUGUGCCUGGGCUUGCUGCCAUAUUCCCUAGCCUUUCUCCUAUUUUGGCUUAACAAAACAAAGUCUGACAACUUGGCGGGGAGGGAUCUGGGGAGAGCUGCCAGGCCACACCCUAGAUGGUGGGGGUGGGGGGCAGGGAGAACAGUAGGCUCUCACCCCCAAAUCACCACCCCUAGGUUCUAGAGCCAAGCUCACCCUGGAGCCCCCAAUUCAACACCUUGAUUCCAUCUCUAUGCUAGCUACUGCCCUCCCAAGUCCAUGGCCCUUCUCAGUUUGCCUUGGCCCAGGAGGCAUCACGUAGAUUGGUUGUCAAAUGGAGCAGCUAGAAUCUGGGCUCCUGAGGGCUUCAUCUGCCCCUCUCUUCCCAUCCUCUCUGCUGAGAUCCUGCAACCUUCUCUUCCCCUUCUGGCCAGGGCAGAGAGGCCCAGAUCCAGCUGGCUCUUGCCCAAGAGAUGCACCUGUUGGAAGAGCUAAGGUGUACUUUCCUGUGCUUUGCUCCUGUCUCUACCCUGUCUUUUGCUGUUCUCUUGACUUCUCCCCAUCCCUGUCUUCCUGCUCUUGCCACAUUCUACAUGCCAUCCUUCUGUCUGCUCCCUUACUAUCUAACCUUGUGGCUUUGCUACUCUAGCCAAGCUCUUUCCUCCAAUUCUCAGUGGGGAAGCUAAGGCCCAGAGCAUGGACAACUUUCUCAAAAUUCCCCUAAGAGCCAAAGGUAGUAUUGAGACUUUGAACCCUAACCCUAGGUAAUCUUUGUCCCUUGACCCUCUCUAUACCUAAUCAUUCUCUUGUCCCUCUGGUUGGUUCUCCCCAAAACACUUAUAGGGAAAUGAGAUGUGGUGACAAUCAGGGGCCUAGAAAAGUCAAAGGCAGCCAAAGAACUCAGAAGCUUAUGUGCAUGUCCUGUAGGCAACUCACUGUCCUGGUCUAAGUGCCACAGCUUCCCUUCCCAAAGGAGUUUCAUAAGAGGCCCUCAAGGGUGACUGGGCAGAUAUGAGGCCCUUCCCUGGAAGCUAAAAUGGUAGGAGAGGUGACCAGGGCUGGGAUUAAGGGCCCAGCAGAUAUCAGGGUUUGGAGGCCAGGGUUGGGUGUAGAAACCUAUAGCCUGGGUCCAAUGAUGGGUUAUGACUAGGUUUGGAGGCAGCUCUGCAGUAAGGAGGCUCUUCUCAGCCAAUAGGACUUAAGAGAAUUCAUCUAUUUGGUCAAUUGGUGGGUGAGGACCAGCCCAGCCUGCUUUUCUGGGCAUCAUUCCUUUUGUUUCUCUUCCUUUCCUGGUCCUUUAUGCUUCUAGUGCCUGUUUUCUGUUGUGGCUACAGGGUGAAGUAAUUUGGGAGAAGGCCCUGGGUUCAAAUUUCAAAUCCUUUUCUGCUAUGAGCUUCAGAUUUUCUGCUUGGGGAAGAGUCUGACUUGGUCCCAGUAAUUUUCCAAAAUGACAGAGACCAAAGUUGAGUUCAGUUCCUUAGAGAUUCUCUUAUCUCUGAUCCAGCUCCUGGGACAAAGGAGAUCAGUGAGGAGAGGGUGAGACUGGAGAUUGCAGGAAGAACUGGGAGAAAACAAGCCUGUAAGGGUCAGAGGCUUCCUGGGGCAUAGGGAUGCACUGUCGUCAUCAUCAAAAACAUUCUUCCCAUUACUGAGCUCCUACCAUGUGCUAAGGAUUGUACAGGGCUCUUUUCAUAUGUUGUCUUGUGGUGAUCCGCACAGCAGCCUUCAAGUGGGUUAUUACCACCCCAUUCUAUUUUAUUGUUAUUUUUUGAGAUAAGAUUGCUCGAUCUGGAGCGCAGUGACACAAUCACAGCUAACUGCAGCCUCGACUUCCUAGGCUCAAGCCAAGGAAGAGCUCCCAAGUAGCUGGGGACUACAGGUAUGCACCAUCAUGACUGACUAAUUUUUAUUAUUAUUAUUUUUUGUAGAAACAGGGUCUCACUAUGUUGCCCAGGCCUGUCUUGAACUCCUGGGCUCUAGCAGUCCCUCUGCCUCGGCCUCCCAAAGUGCUGGGAUUACAGGUGUGAGCUACCACACCUGGUCCCACCCCCAUUUUAGAGAGGAGAAAGAUGAGAUUUCCAGAGAUUGGCUGAUUUGCCCAAGACCCAAGGCUAGUAAGCAGCAGAACCAAGAUAUCUGUGUGGAGCCAAAUCAGCUUCCUACCAUGCCUCACCACUGGCUAAACCCACUAUUCCCAUCUCCUGGCCCUUGCCCUAGGAGCAUUUCGUAGCAGCUUUUCCUCUAAUGUUUUUCAUCCAGCAGGAUUUUUCAUCCUAAGUGGCCAGUCUCAAAGGGGAGGCUGACCUUAUUCUCUUGUGAAUGUAGCUCUUCUUGAUCACUCUCUCCUCCUUCCCUGGGAAAUAGGAAAUGCUGAAAAGAUCUCUUUCUCCACAAGACAUCCCUCCACCAAAUCCCCUCUCCUUUGCUUACCCAGACAGUUGUGUCCGUCAUGUGCCAGGUGGAAUCCAUCAUAGCAGGUACACCGGUAAUUGCCAGGGAUGUUGACACAGUCAUGCACACAACCUGCAUUAUCCUCUCGCUCGCACUCAUCCACGUCUGUGGGCAAAGGGAAGCUGAGACAGCUGAACCCACCUGCGAACCCACUGUCCACCCCCAGACUCAGCCUUAUGGUUGUGUUUACAUAGUUAUGUUCAUGGCCUAUAAGCCAUUUAGCAUUUUUCUGUUUUCAUUUAAACCUAAGUCAUGAACAUUUUCAGGUCUCCAUCCAGUCUUUCUAAUUACCAUUGUACAUGGUUGCAGAAUAUUAUUUUUCUAUUUUUUUCUCUAUUGUUAGAGAUUUAGAUUUCUUUAAUUUAUUUUACCAUCAUAGAUAAUGCAUCAAAGAACAUCUUCUCCCAUGUAUUAUUUUGUUACUUUGAAUAAGUCCCCAAGAGUAAAAUUCCUGGAUCAAAGGAAAUACCUUUUAAGAUUCCUGGUAGGUAUUACAAAAUUACUUUUCAAUUUAUAAUGCAACUAGGAAUUAACAAGUGUACCCUGUCCACUAAAGUCUCACCAACACUGAAGCUCAUAAAUUUAAUAUCUCAAGGCUACUUUAAUUUGCAUUGAUUUAAUUAUGAGGGGAAGAUGUGUUUACAUUAUGAACUUCCUCUGAAGCACACUUUCUGUUCCCAUCCAUUGUGGAUGUGGUGUAAGGGUCUAAAGAUAAAGGUUCCAAUGUCAGGGAACCUCAGGUCUUAGUCUUAUGAUUUUCAUGCUCCCACCCCAGCCAGGUUGUGGGCUGUGAACUGUCCCCACCAGGGCCUCUGCUAGCCUGCAUGGUGCCUUUGUGCAAAUUAGAAAAUGGCACCCUCUCUGGGAAGAUGCAGUUGCCCCCCUCACCACCCCCCCACCACUUGACCAGUGGAAUUUCUAGCCUUGAUGUGAUGGAGAGUGGCCAACUGAGGGCAGUGGCACUGGUUUGCCUUCUUCCACAGGUCCCUCUCCUCCAGGUGCCCUUCCAGCCUCACCUUUGCAGUGUUUGCCGUCCCCUGUGUAGCCAGACUUGCAGAUGCACUUGUAUGACCUCGGGGUGUUCUGGCAGAUAGCAUCGAUGUGGCAGUUGUCAGUCCCCUCCACACACUCAUCCACAUCUGGCAGGGGCAGAGGGGGCACAUGAGAACCUCUGUUGGCACCUCUUAAGGGGUGUCUUGAAGGUGGGCUUCCAAGGGCAGAAUCCCCUCUUCUCUAAAACAGAGGCAGUGACCCCCUCCAGAAACAGGUGCUGUCUCACAUCUCUCUGAUUUCAGAGUAGGCAGACACUGAUUUUGGGAAUUCAGAAGGAACCCCCACUGCCCUCAAAAAUACUAAAUUCACAGUGACAGCUAAAACUCCAUCAUUCGAAACACUCCUUUUUUUAUUUGAAAACAAACAAAAAACCCUUAGAGUGGGUAGUACACUUAACUUGAUUAGGAAUAAUCAACUUAAAGUGAAUGAGUUUACGGAGAAGGCUUAGAGGGAAAGUUAAGGGAAAAGGCAUGGGAACAGUGGUCUCUGGGAAGGUGGCAGGGUCCAGCAAUCACUAGUAAAGGAGGAAGAAAGGGGGAUGGGGCAUCUGAGGGAUCUUCAUCUGUGUCAUGAUUCUGCUUGAGACCAGGCCUGCUUCCACUUGCCCACCAUGGAGCCAAGAAGCUUUAGAGGAAAAAUGUUCCAUCCUGGAUGAUUUUCCUCGGCCCCUGUGCUGCCAACAAUGGAGACAUCCAGAGCUGGCAGAGGUUGGCACCAGCUACCUGAAGCCUAAUAAGUGCAGCCCUUCAGGCCCUAAUCCCCAGUGUUUAGCCCUCUGUCUCCUGGCCCUAGCUCUAACAAUAGGUGCUACACACACAGCUAUACUUGAAGGAAGAGGCCACUCACCAUCUAGCAAAAAAGAGGAUGGUUAGGAAAGGACAUAGAUGAUGCCAGGCGCGGUGGCUCAUGCCUGUAAUCCCAGCACUUUGGGAGGCCAAGGCAGGUGGAUCAUGAGGUCAGGAGUUCGAGACCAGCCUGACCUUGAUGAAACCCCAUCUCUACUAAAAAUACAAAAAUUAGCCAGGUGUGGUGAUGUGUGCCUGUAAUCCCAGCUACUCAGGAGGCUGUGGCAGGAGAAUCGCUUGAACCAGGGAGGCGGAGGUUGCAGUGAGCUGAGAUCGCGCUAAUGCACUCCAGCCUGGGCGACAGUGAGACUCUAUCUCAAAAAAAAAAAAAAAAAAAAAAGGACAUAGAAAAGAGUCCAACUUCUGAGGCAAUAUUAUGGUGCCCUUAAAUCUGAACUGAAAUAGAGAAACAUGUUAUUCAGUUGAAAACGCCUUAUUGAGUGUGUUUGUGAAAGACACUAUAAUGAUAGCUGUGGAGGCUCAAAGGUGACUCAGCCCAGCCAAAAGGAGAAACAAAAAACAUGGAGCAGAAUGUGGUACAUGCCCUGAAGACAUGAGAGAUAAGGUGAGGGGGUCCUCCACCCUGCACAUCAGAGUCAACUCUCCUAGGAGAUGUCCAAGCCACAACCCCAGAGAUUCUGGUCAGAUAGCCUGGACUGGUGCCGGGCCAUCAGUAUUUUUCUAAAGCUCUUCCAGUUAUUCUAAUGUGUAGUCAAGGUUGAGAACCUGUGUUACGGGGCAGAUCAGAGGAGAAAGAGAUUACUUCCAGCUGGAAACUGGGAAACCCAAAAUAGUGUCUUAAGUAGCAGCCUGCAAGUGAGUGAUCACUGAAUGGGAGGCAUUACUCUCCUGUGAUCCCACAACUGAGCACAGAAAGGAGAUGAGAUUUGACACCAAGACAAUUUGAUAUCCAAGUGUGAUCUAUGGGCCAUAGAAUUGCCUAGGUUUUAUUAAAAUGCAGAUUCUCAGGACUCAUUAUAGCCUUUUUGAAUCCAAAUCCUUAAGUGAUUAUUUUUACUGAGUGAAUGGAUGCAUGGACCAGUAUUCUCUCCAAUUUAUAGAUACCCAGAGUCCUAGCUUGAGACAGUUAUCUGUCCUCCGCUUUUAUACUCUGAAACUUCCUGGGGCUAAGAAGAGAACUGAAAUCCCCAAACACCCUGCCUCAAAUCUCACAGGUUUCCGUUCAGCUCUUCAUUCUACCCUUCAACUCCUAUGCAGCCAACCAUCAUACCAGUUGAUUCUAAGUGCUGGGAGCCUCUGUCUACACUUACUCUCCACCUCGCUCAGGCUCCAUAGGCAUGGUGUCUACCUGCUGGCCCAUCCUGGGAAGUCAUCCCAACGUGACAGAAUGGAAAAGAGAGGGCAUGGAAGACUAGUUCAUAGGUAAGGGCAAGAGGGACCUCGCAGAUGGUAAGGUGCUCUGUGGAGAAUCAGUUUGUCCAACUGAUAAACAGAAAACAGUACAAAGAAAUGUGCUAUCACAGAACGAUCUUAAGCACUGGAACCAGUCAGUCCCAGAUUCAAAUCCAGCUCUACCCUUCUCUAGGGAUGGUUUUCUUAUUCUCCAUCUCCUCCCCCUUAAAAUGGGGAUGAUAAUACCUCCUCAUGAGAGGCUGUGAGUAGCUGAUGGGAUAAUUUGUGUAAAUUGGCUAAUAAAGUAUCUGGUAAACAGUAGGGUCCCAAUACAGGAAGCUUGAGAUGGUAUUAAAUCACUGGUCAGGCAAUAGAUGCUCGAGACAGUAUGACAGCCACUAGCCACAUGUGGUUAUUUAAUUUAAAAUUCACUUCCUCAGUUGCACUAGCCACAGGCCAAAUGCGCAAUAGCCACAUGUGGCUAGUGGCUACCAUGGCGGAAAGCAUAGAUAUGGAACAUUUCCAACACCACAGAAAUAGCACUGCUAUUAGCACACCACAGGAUAGCACUGCUCUGGGGUUCUGAAUAAGAGAUACUCCCUGGGUCCAGCAGCACGGAUACUGGUCUGGAACUGCUCCCCUGACCAUAUCAGAGGUAUGUGCCUGUGACUGAAUCAGCUGGUGCUUCACUAGAGACUGUGUCAGACUAUAUGGGCUCCCAAUUCUUUCCUUUGCCUCCCAUUCAGUGCUCACCAGUACUAGAGUGGAUCUUGAUGCUGAUCACCACAAACCCAGGCCUCCCAGCAGAUUCUUUUUUUUUUUUUUUUUUUUUUUUUUGAGAUGAAGUCUCGGUCUGUCACCCAGGCUGGAGUACAGUAGUGGUGUGAUCUCGGCUCACUGCAACCUCUGCCUCCCAGGUUCAAGCUAUUCUUCUGCCUCAGCCUCCUGAGUAUCUGGGAUUACAGGCAUGUGCCACCACACUUGGCUAAUUUUUGUAUUAUUAAUAGAGACAUGGUUUUGCCACAUUGGCCAGGCUGGUCUCGAACUCCUGACCUCAAGUGAUCUGCCCGCCUUAGCCUCCCAAAGUGCUGGGAUUACAGGCGCGAGCCACUACACCUGGCCACAGAUUUUUUAGACCCCUCCUACAGCCAGACUUCUCCCACCAUCUAACUAACCCCUCUCCCUUACCUCCCUGCUCACAAUGCUUAUCCCUCUCCAGCAAAGAGUCUCUGCUCUGGAAGACAUUAUCUCUUCCUGUUCCCUCUACAAUACCUAACCAUCCUAUUCCUUUCUAUGCAUUUGCGUAUUUUCGUUAUUCACAUUGCAGAUGCAUUCCUCAUUUUUCUCUUCCAGCCACACUAUGCUCAGCUUUCCAUUCCAGCUCAAAUUUUUCUUCCCAAAAGCUCUUCCUUGUAAGCCCCGUUCCUGGUGAGUUCCUGGUCCAAGGGGACUGUUCUCCUCAGUUCAUUUACAGCCGUCACUGAAUUGCUCUGCUAAUACUUUAAAGCGUGUUCAGCUUUCCUCACCUGGCUGGGUACCUGCUGAGGAAGAUGUCCCUUCAAUGUUUGGUUGGAGUCUUUUGAAGCAGAACAGACCUAAGACAAAGCUGUGAAAGAGGGCCCCAAAUUAUACCCAGUAUCUCCUCCUUUUACCACUCAUUCUUCCAGAGUUCUCUCCUACCAUAUGUGCCCACCCAGAAUUUGUCCUUGCAAGGACCCUUCAACGCUCACAGCACAGUCUCAUCUUAGCCUGUUCUCUCAGGAUGCAGGUGCUUACUAGCUGGAAAACCAGUUGAUGCUACUGGGUGUGGACUGGUUUAAACCAGCGGUUCUCAACCCUGGGGCUACACACUGGAAUUCCCUGGGGGUUUUGAAAAAAAUGUGAAUGUACAGAUGUCCCCUAGACCAGCUGAAUCAGGAUCUCCAGGGUGAGGCUGUGGCUACUAUCUGUCUUCCUUUCCCAAGGUAAUGCCAAUAAACUAUUUGCCCAAGCUGGGAAGAGACCAGGGCAGCCACAUGACAGAGUAGUUAAGAGAGAGGUUCUGGAGCAACAUUGUCAGUUCAAUUGCUAGCUCUACCUGUGUCUGUGUGGUCCUGGGCCAGCCUCUGAACUUACCUGUUCCCUCCUCUGUAUGUGGGAAUAAUAUUCAUCAUAGUACCUCCCCAUGGGGCUUCCAGGAACAUCAGUUGAAUUAAUACCCAUCAAGUACUUAACACCACAGUGUGGGCAUAUAGAAAGUGCUCAACAAAGGUUUGCUAUUUUUUUCUUUCUUUUUGAAACAGAGACAGGGUCUUGCUCUGCUUAUCCAGGCAGGAAUGCAAUGGCAUGAACAUAGCUCACUGCAACCUCGAAAUCCUGGGCUCAAGUGAUCCUCCCACCUCAGCCUACUGAGUAACUGGGACUAUAUGCGCGUGGCAUCAUGCUCAGCCAAUUUUUUAAAAUUUUUAGAGGCAGGGUCUUGCUAUGUUGCCCAAGCUGGUCUCGAACUCCUGGAUUUGAACGACCCUCUCAUGUCAGCCUCCCAAAGUGCUGGUAUUACAGGUGUGAGUCGCCAUGCCUAGCCAAGGUUUGCUACUAUUAUUCCUUCUCUCCAACCUUCUCCCUGUAUUCUUUCUGAACUCCCUUUCCCUAUCAAAGCCCCAUUUCAGGCCUGGUGUGGGGAAAUGCAGCACCAGGUGAGCAUGUGUUGGUGGGGAGGAUUUGGGGAGACACAUCCCCACUGCUUACUCUACCUGUGCUGGGAACUGCACAAAGAAUGGGGGUGAAGUGGGUGAGAGGCCAGUUGGGAACCCAAAAGCUGUCCUCUACAAUUCUUUUUGAAGGCUAGGGAGAUCCCACUCCUACUUCAGGCCAUGCAUUGGAACCAAAGUUGAGGUGGGGGAGAGUGGUGGCUGCACAGAUACCAUAGACAAGCCAAGACCUCCCUGCCUCGCCCUGUCCUGGCAUGAAGGCACAGGUCUGUAACUACAGCAGCUUUUCCCAGUACCAUCUGACAUUUCUUCUGAAUUUGCUUUAGCGCCUAGCAGAGCACUCCAUAAACUCUCCUAAAGUAGGUAGGAAGGGUAGGAUGGGGUAUGGGAUAUGAGGGUCAGAGGGUCAGACCAGAAAGGGUGGAUUAUUAUAAAACAAGUAGUCCUAAGAUUCUGAGGAUGGGCAGGUGUACCCUAAAAGGGAAGCAGUGGGAUUCCCAAGUAAAUACUUCAUCUACUUCACAAGUUUGCCCAAGCCCAGCUCAGGAACAGUAACAAAUGGAAAUGAGCAGGGAUGCCGGCUGUGGACAAGCAGACCCCCUAGGUAGAGUCCACCCCACCUUCCCAUUACCACAGGAAUUAUUACCUUACCACCCAUAGGGGAGGGGGUAAUUGUGGGCAAAUUUGAUGGGCCCAGUGGGACAGUCAGAAACAGCCUGCCUAGAGCCCUAAUGUACCCACCCACAUAGCUGUGACAUCCUCAGCCCAGCCAGGCUAGCCCAGGAUAUAUGGUGUGUGUAGCGCACUCUGCUAUUUUCCUCUCCUUGAAUGUCCUUGAGGACCCAGUUCAGGUGCCUCUGCUGGGACACUCCCUGUGACACUACCAGCCUUCUCUGAUCUACUCUUUCUCUUGACUCCUAAGACUUACUGUCAGGCUCUCUGGUCACCUGAUCAAUCCCAGGCUUGUGAUACCUCAUAUGCUACCUUGUACCAUUAUUUAACUUUUAGUUCAUGUGUAUAAUUUUCCUACUGAAGCAGUAGGAGCUUGAGGCCAUGGCUCCUAAAGCUUUGAAACCCAUGCAGCAACUGAAAUAGAGCUCAGCAUUCAUUCAUUCACUCACUCACUCAAUAGUUAUUGAGCACCUCCAACAUGCGAAGCACCGUGCUAGGUGCUGGGGAUUUGGCAGUGAACCAGAGAUGAAUUCUACAUUGAAGCCACUUAGUAAAUAUUUGUUAAACAGAUAGACGAGUGGAUGGAGACAUGGAUGCAUUAGUAGUGAGUGGAUAAUGUCUCUAUCUGUGGCAUCCCUUCUGCUCUAUGUUACCUCAGAGAAAAAUCUCACUUCUUUACUCUCCGUGAUCCCACAACUGUUCUGGAUGGGGGAAGUCCCAGGAAGUUUAGUCUCAAGUGGAGAGUAGGGAGAGAGGAAACUAAAUUCAGAGGGGUAGUACCCACUUAAAGGCAUCCAUAUGAUGAGUGCUGGGGCCAGAAGAGACUGGAACCAAUGAGUCAUAGGGUCUCAGGGUCUUCAGACAUCAUAUGGGGCUGCUACAGGGAUCUUUUCAGAGCAUCCCCUUCAACAGAUGUUCCUCAGCCUCCAUGCUAACUCUCAAUGAUGGGGCACCUGACACAGGCAUUCCACUGCUUGCCCCUGGUGAUUUCCCUCAUUCUCACCUCUAAGUAACAUCCAAAAUAAAACCAGCCCAGCCUUGGGCCAUGAUAUCCUAACCCACAGCAUGUGCACAUGUACCCACAUCUGCAUAUCUGCUCUACCUCCAGAUCAAAAUAGCAACCAGGGAGAUUGGCAGAGCCUGGAGUACCAGGCUGUCUUCCCAGUUUGGGACUGGCUGAGGCACUGUGACUUCAGUGAGAGUCUGGGCCCAUCCUCAGUCUAGAAAAAGCUUAUGCAAGGAUGAGGGUAGCCUAGAGAAAGUCCAGAAAACCACACAAAUGACCACCUGUUGAUUCCAAGGCGGAGACAGAGCACUUUCUCCUUUUAAAAACAGUAUCCUCUCCUCUCACUCAAGCUUAGCCUGCUCAACUGAACAGCCAGGAAAAGCUGCUGGUGUUUGGUGAUUUGAAGGGAAGGGGGUCUGAACCUCAGAAGCUUGUCACUUACUGGGGACCCUGAUGAGUUUCUCUCUGUUGUCCUGCCUUAUCCCUAAUCUAGCUCCCUGAUCAUUUGAAUGUAACCCUAAUUGGACAAGAAUUUUCUCCCUUUCAGUAUGGACAAAAUCAACAACCAUGAAUCAGAGACUUUUAGAGGAUGGGUAGUGAAGUGGGGGAAGAACAGAACAUUGUAGAGUGAGGGGCAGAGAGGCAGGCAGUGGGCAUGGGUAGGUUCUGGUUUUGUGAUUAGUAAUAUUAUCUCUUUAAUUGAAAAAAAUAAACUCAUUUCAGAUUCGUAUAAUUUCACUAAGUGUACAGUUUUUUCAUGCAGGUUGGUUCACGUGGUCUUCAAACUGUCCUCUCUCAUCUGGGGCCCAGUGAGGAUACCUCAGGAAAGAGCAAGUAGCUAGUGUAAAGCCAGGAUCCAGGUCUUCAAACUCCCAGUCCAGUGCUCUCUAACUACCCACUGUGUUCUCUAAGCACUUGAGGGAGGAAUCCAUGCCUUAGUCAUUAUUGUACCUCCCCCAACUCCACCUCAGCACUUAGUUCAGCAUGAAGCAUGCAUCCAGUAUAUAACCGUGGAGCGGAAGGAGCUGAAAUGUACAUGAUCCAGGGAGGAAAUCAGCAGUGGGAAUGCAGAUGCUCUGAGGCUUUGGGCAUGGGAGCAGCAGAAGAGAGCAAGGCUGAGUAGUGGGCAGGGAGGGUACAGACACAGUUGCAAUAAGGAAAGGGUGGGCAAUGCAACAGUGGGCAGGUGUUGCCUGCCCUUGGAUUCACUAUGCUGGGGCCAAGCAGCUGGUUAGAAACAAAAACAAACACCAGGGAUACAGGUUCCUGCUGUUAACAGCUUCAAACCGCCAGAGGAAAACUCCAAAUAAAUAUAAUUAGAAACUUGUAAAAACGUCCUCUCUGUAAACCUGCUCCCCAGGGUCUACCCUUCAAGCACUCCCCUUCCCCAGCCCUCCCCCCAAUGCCCACAUAUCCUGAUACUCCCCACUUUCAGAGGGAUUCCUUAGAUGUGUUUCCUUAUCCUGGAUCUUCCCUCCAGCCCUGCAGCCCCUGCCCAGGUCUUUCCUCAGCUUGUUACCACCAGUGACCAGACCUGAAGAGCCCCUGGUGUAGGCUCAGAAAUCCAAACCCCACAGCUCUCUAGGGCUAUGGUUAUAACCACAGGGAAAACCAGAGGUAAGAGCAAGGACCACUGUGCCCUAUAUAGGGGUCAUCAUCCCAUUUGUUCAGCCAAAGCACAGCAUCUAACAGCAACUACAAAGCAGUGCUUGAUCUGCAGGGGGACAUGUCUAGGCUAGGGCAGAAUACAGACAGCUAGUCUCAGAGCUAGAAACACGGAAUCCUGGGGCCCAGAUCCAAGAAUAUUCAGUUCCCAUAACACGGAUAUUUCAGCUCCACUUCCCAACUUUGUUGGAUACACACAUAUAGAAACACACAUGUGUUCUUCAGGGGCUAUUUCCAGGGAUAAAUACCCACUUCAUGGACACAGUAAGAACUAUCAGCUACUUGGGGUUCCAGGAAACUGGGGUGGGGGAAGAAAGGAAGAGUAUCCAGAUGACCUAGCCUCAGGCAGGCAGAAGUGGACCAGCAUCCAAGGAGGAGAGCGCCUGAGAUUUGGGUGAGUAACCUGUGGAGGCCCGGCGCCUUCUGCCUUCAGCAGGAAGGAUUUCAGUGAGAUGUGCAGAAUCUCAGGGCUGCAGGGAACCCUACUGAUAUUUUACAAGUGAGAAGAGGGAUUUCAGUGAUUUCCUCCGAGGCUCAAAUCCUUAGGCUCUGCAUUUGUCUAAACCCACUGGCACCAUAUACCUCUAUAUCCCCGGUGCCACUUGAGGCUGGCAUUGGGUGGGCAUAGGAACAGGAGAGUAGCCAGUCCAAUGUUAAGUGGCCAGUGGGGGAGGGGAGUCUCUGUCCCCUCUUAGCCCAGGUGACUAGCUCCUGUACCCCCUAGACAUCCCUGGGUUGGCCGUUGUUUCGCUUCUAUACCCAAGGCCCAGCAGUCCUUCUGUUUCCAGACUCCAGUCUUCUGAGCCUGAAGAAGCUGUCCCCAGGUCUGGGCCUCUUGCAGGCACUGCCAGCCUCAGAGCAGCUCUGCAGUUUCCAGCCCUGACAGGGACUCUUUCUUAUAAGUGGUCAUGUGCUAGGGAUACGGGAUGUCAAAGGAGGCCCACACCCUGACAUUUGGGGACCAGAGCUGGGGGAAAGGACUGAGUGAGUUCAGGCAGCAAGCUCUUCCAGCUCCAUCUUCUCAAAAGGUCUGAAGCCCUUCGUUCCCUUCCCCUGUCCUCAGUUCAAGGCACUGGACCAAGCCAUUCCACUUCUUUACUUCUCCAACUAAAACAAAAUGCAUAUUGCCCCACUUCCUUUUUCCUCUCACCAGAGCACUUCACACACACACACACCCUGAGUCAUGCACACACAUUCACACGUGUGUGAAUGCACACUUCACAUUCCCAAACUCACACCCAGGGCCGGCUCCUCUUACAACAGGUCCCAGCUGCUCACAUCUCAAACCGGUUCUCAUGCUCUCAGAUUCCUGAAGGUUUCAAAAAACAAUCUCAUUUGAGGGCUGCUGAUGACUGUCUUCUUUCUCUGCCUGCAGUAAUUCUGGCCUUAGUGUCUUCUAGUCCCCUUUCUCUUAUUCCACCCUGCAGAGACUCAAAGAGAUGAGAAGGAAGGGGUUGAAAACAGGGAAAAGUCUCUGUACUCUCCCACCCCGAGGCUUUCCCCACCUCUGAGACAUGUCAUGAGAGAAGAGAGGUCAAAGGGAUUCCUGAGGAAUUUCUAAGCAGUCCACCCUCUUCUCCACCUUCUGGAAAAAUGGGGGUGGGCUUAGAGGGAACUGACUAAAGAUCAGGCUCUGAGUGGGGACUCUCCCUCUCUCCAGUGUGGCCUGGACAGGGCACAGGCAAUAGCCGGCUGCCCACGGGGCCACCCUUACCCGCUGACAUGGUUAUGGUUUUCAUUUCAUAUUUUGGAGGGAGGGGCUAGUAGGAACAGUCCCCUCACUGUAAGAGCUGGCCACAGGAGCCCAGGGAAGCGGGGAGGAAAGGAAACAGCCACAUUAAAGAGGAAGAGAAGGGUGGGAGAAAGAAAGAGACACAUACACCCAGACAGAGACCCGGAGAGACACACCGAGACAGAGAGACACUGUUUGCCACCACAUGAACGCUCUCAGUCCCAGGGAUGGGGUUACUUGGAAAUUCUAAAUGCAUGACUUUAUCAAAACUCUAUCCCUAACAAGGAGAGAAAACUACCAGGUAAACUAAACGGCCAGGCUGGCUCUCCUGGAGCCAGCCCUGGGGACAAGUUUCCCUGGAGGCCGAGAGACCUUUUCAUUCAGCUGUAACCUGAGCCCUAUGCGAGGAUUAGGUCUUUUUAACCACUGCUGCACACACCCCCCCCCCCGCCGCGCCUCCCCCCCGCCCCCCCCCCCCCCGCCAAACACCCACCCCCUUACCAAAAGCAAAGCAAAUUAAUGCUUUUAAGUUAACAAUUAUCUUGGUUAUCCAGUCUGUCUACUUUAAAAUAUACAGACAAGCACUUGAAAAACACUCAAAACCAUGUCCCCUCAUGCUCCCUCCCUUCCCAGUCACACAGGCUUACCCACCUACUCUUCCAUACAGUUCUCACAGACACUAAAACAGCAGUUUACCCUUAGCAACUACGUCACAAGAAACACAGACAUCCAGCUAUGUUGCCUGUGGGUAACUGUGGUGAACCUCUCAUGUGUGCACAGUCGCACACUCACCUUUACACUUAGGGCUCCCUUCCUUGUCUCCCCCUUUCCCCCCUUCCACAUGACUUUGGUUUUCCCAUUGUGGGAAUCACUGAUGAAAAGGGACAGAAACCCAGAUACCCCCAGAGGUAUAGUAACUCCGUGCAAGAUACUUGCCAAGGGUAUUUGAUUUUAAAGACCUGCUAGUGCUUUAUAUAAAGCAUGUGGCAUUAAAGGCACACUUUCUGGCACUGCUGAUAACCAGGAGAUAUGUUUGAAGGUAAGGCCUCCCUGAUGCUCACAGACUGUGUCUAUGGGUAAGGCUGUAAGGUUGCCCCGCCUGGUCAGUACUAGUUCUUCCUGCAGCAUCUGCCUGCAAGUUUGUGUCCAGAGACAUCCCUGUAACCCAGCAAACCUGCUAUUAGGCAACCUCUGGCAGAUGGGGUUUGUAGAUUUCCUGAAGAGAAGGGUCAAUGAAAGGCUUCCAUUCUAGGCCAAGCUUAGGGAUCAGAAGAAAAGAAGGAGGAUACCAAGCUAACUGCGGUCCAGUCACAGGAAGGGUGGCCUGUGAAUGAGAUAAGCUGGGGACAAAAACUACUCUAAGUUCCUUGAGGGCAGGGGCCUUCACUCUGGCAGCAUGUUCCUCAGUACCCAGCAGGGAGUCCAAUGAAAGUGGAAGCCCUGGAGUACCAUGCAGGGAUUCUGACUCCCGUUCCUGAAUCAUGAGCUGAUCUCCCAUACUUGAGUGCCUUGGCUUGAUGGCACCUGUCCCUUGGAGGGGUCUCCAUCUGCCCCUGGGCCCCCCUCGAAUACACUGCUUCUCCUUUGGUCCACAGCCUCACUAGGCCACUACAGACACUGGCUCCAACUUGAAAGAGGCCCUUAUCUUGUCUCUAGGUUACUUCAUGAUAUCUGUUCCUUCCUUCAGACUAAACUCCCCACCUAAUUCCAUGUUAUGAGUAAGUCAGCACACACUACAAAAGCCAGCUUUGUUUAUGAAAACACAAAUCCACAGUGAGGAGAGGGGCUGCUCCCAGGUUGGGGGUGGCAGUGGCGAUGCGCUGUCUGGAACCAGGACUGGAAAAGAGGCAGUGUGGGGCUGGAAGGUGUGGGGGCAGGGUCCAGUAUUUGACAGCUGAGGAUCUCUAGUGUUUCAGUUCUGUGAAAGGACAGGUUGGAGGGGGAAGAGGUUAGCUGAAGAGGCAGUGUUUGGGGAGAGGAGGGCGGCAUUGAUACAGCACCUUCCUCUUCACAGAGCAGGAGCCCAUCCAAUACAACAGAGCAGCUUAAGAGCCAAACGCUCAGGCUCUGGGACACAGCGACCUGUGUCGGACACUCAGGCUUCCCCAACUCCCAAGUUCAACUUUCCUUCUGGCCCAGCCAUCUCCUCACCCAGCUGGCUUCAGGAGCCCCUGGGACAAUAGGCAGAAUCAUACUCUCCUGGGCAAAACCUUGCCAGGAGGAAUUUUCUUUUUGUCCAUAUAAAUCUCUUGUCGGUGAGGACACGAUGGGGGAGGGGUACAGCAAGAGGUCAAGGGGGAGGAGAAACUGUCCCGAGAGAACUGUAGUACAUCAGCCUAGUCUCUGCCUGCACAGCCUUGGGACCUGCCAGGCGAUGAGCUGGGGGUCAGGGACGGGGGCGGGAGGCCUCCCUGUCUCUCUUUAAUUCCUAGAGGGAUCUGUCAGAGCUCCCCGGCCUGGAAUUCUACUUUGUUAUUUUAAUGCAAUUCUGACCUGGAUUUAAAUGGAAUUGGAAACCCGAGGCCUUAAUAAAUAAAUAUUAUGAUAAGAAAUGAAAGCCAUGCAAGACGAAAGAGAUUUCACCCCAAAGAGGCAGAAACGCAACAUUCCUGUCGGGAGCCAGUCACAGAAAUUUUCUUCUCUUCUUCAGCCCCCUACCAUCCGGUGAGAGAUGAGUUGAUUUUUCCAUAAAAGAUCCUAUUUUUCUUCAACAUUUUUCCACUGAUAAGGCAUCAACUUAGAAAUGUCUAACUUUGCAUGCGGGUUGGGGGUAAGGGAAAGAAAUAUACGGCACGGCUGAAAAGUUUUCAUUAUUCCCUCAGUCUCUCCAGGCCACAGCGUAAGUUUCUGGCAAUGUUUGAGAGAAGAGAAAAUUCUCUCUCAGAUUUUGGAAGACAAGAAGUCUUUCGAAGAUGCUGGGAGUGGAUGAAGUCGAGCGGAAUUCUGAGGCGCGUGGUCUCUUCUGCCCACCGCCCCCAAGAGUUUCUCACUCCUCUCUGCCGCCCCCAGCUUGUCCGGCUUUUCGCUCGGGGCGCAGCGCCCAGCGGUCGGGCCCCUGGCCGGGGAGUCCGGGUGCACAGAGCCGGGUUCUGACAGCAGCACGCUCCCCAGCACCUGCCCUGCCCCUCGGGAAUCGCUCCUAGGCCCUGAGGCCCAGCAGCCAGGACAGCCCCCAGGCCGCGCGCCCCUCCUUCCUUACCUUGCGCGGCUUUGCUGUACUGGGCGGCGCGGGCGUGGACCAGCAGGACAAGCAGGCAGAGCCCGGGUACGCGCCCCGAGCCCAUGGCUGGAGCUACUGGCGGCCCAGCCGCCGGGGCCGGUCUCGCGGCCAGGGGAGGGCGGAAGCCGGCCGGAUCCCAGCUCGCAGGAGGGGGAGGGGAGGGGGCGCCCCGCCGGGGCCAGGCCGGGGGCUGCAGUCGCGGGGCGCGGACCGCGGCGCCCUCGGCGCGAGGCUCCCGAUGCUACCGGCUCCUCCUGGCCGGACGUCGGGGAGAGCGAGGCGGAGAGUGCGACGAGGCGAGGGGCGCCAGGGGCGACUGACGGAGGGGAACCCCCGCCCUCUCCAAGCCGGCCUCUGCCAGCGGCGGCGGCGGGGCUGCUCCGUGUAAUCCCACCCAAUUCCCAGCUUCGCCGGGAGAGAGCUGCAGCCGGAGAGCGCGCAGAGCCCGAGCGAAGGACCUGAGAAAGGGGAGGGGAAACGCAGCGCCAGAAACACGCCCUUUCUGCCUCUCUUUCUUCCUCUCUCGCUCUUUCUCCGUCUCUCAGGCUCUUUUUCUUCGCCUUUCUCCUCCUCCUCCUCUUUCUCCUCCUCUCCUCGCUCCUUUUCGUUUUCUUCCUCCUCCCCCUCCUCCUCCUCCUCCUCCUCCUCCUUCUCCACCACCUCCUUUUUCGUGCCCUUUUUUCUUUCAAAUGGGGCCUCGGCGCGGUGGCCGCUCCCCCUGCGCGCCCGGGCGCGGUGGCCCCCUCCCCAGGCUGCCGGGCCGCUGCCUGCAGGAAUUUACAAUCCGGCGAUGGGGGAGCGGGCCUGGUCUCCAUGGAGACGGCUUCCCCGGGAGCAGGGAGGUCAGGCGCAGACCGCGCGCAAUCAAUGGAUCAAUGCAAGCUCCGCUCGGCUCCAGACCAAACAGCACCGGGCUCCGACUCGUCCUCGCUCCCCUAGGAAAGAGUCGGGGAGCGAGGGUGCGUCCCCGCGCUCGCUCGCGAGGACGGCCGUGCGGCGCCAGGUUUGAACGCACACCUCCACCCGAGACAAAGAGGGUGCGAGGUGUUGGGGAGGCUGGGGCAGACGUGGACACACGGACACACGGGCACUCGGGCGUGUCCACCGACACAGCCUGACAGGGGACAUAGGACCUCGGAACACACCGCCUCCGACACCAGGCCGAGUAACAACCUCUCAACUUUUACACCUACCACACCCCCAACCUCAAGACUCAGUCCCCAUUCCUAGAUGCGAGUCCACUUUGAGGACCAAAAAGAAAGUAGCCUCCGCCUGCUAAAACUGCCAGCUCCAGGGCAGACUCCCUUGCAGUUAAGGCCUUGGAGGUAAGCCUAAUGAACCACCCUACCCGCAGAGACAUGGACUCACAUACAGACACUCUCAUGUGGUCAGCACAGGGGCGAAAGCUACCCCACAGAAUCAUGUCUAUGUGUAUAAACACAGAGACAUAGAGACAGGUACAAGAGGCUCCUCCAAACCUGCACCCCGCUUCAAGAGGUGGUCCUGACUGGUCCAUUCUGAACCCUUCAUCCUUCCAACUGAGGGGAAGCAGAGGAAAGAGAAAGGAUAUUUUUAAAACAGGGGCAAACCGCAGAAGGAGCAGGGUCUUCCAACCAUGGAUGCUGCCUCUUGACUGUUCACCCACUCUGUAUCUUCUUUCCUUCCAUUGUAAGGGAAAGAGGAAAGACCUCUUGAAAGGCUAUGAAGACUUUCUUGGAGUGUGAGGCUGUGUUCAGAAUGAGACCAGGCCAGGUCCAGUUUUCUACAGGGAAGAUGCUGCUAGGACCCAGACUAGCCUCACAGAGCCCUCAGCGUACCCAGGAGGAAGAGGCAAUGACCAAGAUCUCCUCAAAGGUGCCGCCAUCUAACAUACCAUCCUUCAGCCCUUGGUGAAGUCCUGAAGCCAGACCUCUGGGAGUCUACUCAGGGAACCCACUGCCUCAAACAAAUUUGCAAAUAAAAUUAUUGUAUUUGAAAUAGGCCCACAUUGGUGAAGUUAAGAUGUGGAACUAAUUGUAUGUGUAUUUCUAUAUAACCACAGACUCAAUGUUUGAUGUUUGACAUUUAUUGUGCACUUACUAUGUACCAGGGACUUAAAGGAUGUGGGGAUUCAAAGAUGACAUGGUUUCUCCUUUUAAGUUUAUGAUUUGGCAAGAGAAAUUCACAUCUAAAUAAUUGGAAUAUAAGGCAGAAUGUGGUAAAUGUCCAAACAUGGAGGUGCCAACAUAAAAUUCUAAUGAGGGCAUAAAGAGCACAGAUUAAUUCCAGCUGGAAGCAGGAGGACAACUCAGUGGAGGAGGAAAGGGUUUAAAGCUGACCUCAAAGAAUAUAUAGAAUUCUCAUACAUGGAGUUGGGUGAAGAGAGUGAGGGCUUUCCAGGUGGCAGGAACAACAUGAGCAAAGACUUGGAGAGGAGAAUGUCUUCAGGGAAUUAAUAAUUGGUUCAAUCAGAGACAAGUAUUUCAGAGAGUGUGGAGGAAGAUCUGAAAGGUGGGAUGGGGCUAGACAAUGAAGAGCCUGUUUCCAUCAGAUGCUAAGCGACUGACAGUGUUGCAUAGGCUCCGGGAACCCGGCAACUUUACAGCAAAGUAGCAGCAUGGCGGGCUCACUUCAUGAAUUAGCUUUAUGUGUGCUCCAGGAUUUCUUCAAUGUGUUGAUUUUUAGUGAAUUUAUUUCAUCAUGAAUGCAGGAAGAGAACAGAAAGAAAAACGGGGAAAAGAGGACAUAAAAAGAAGUGGGCUGGGCAUGGUGGCUCACACCUGUAAUCCCAGCACUCUGGGAGCCUGAGGCAGGCGGAUGACGAGGUCAGGAGAUCAAGACCAUCCUGACUAACACAGUGAAACCCCAUCUCUACUAAAAAUACAAAAAAUUAGCUGGGUGUGGUGGCGGAUGCCUGGAGUCCCAGCUACUCGGGAGGCUGAGGCAGGAGAAUGGUGUGAACCCCAGGAGGCGGAGCUUGCAGUGAGCCGAGAUUUGGCCACUGUACUCCAGCCUGGGUGACAGAGCAAGACUCCGUUUCAAACAAACAAACAAACAAAAAAGAAGUGACAGGGAGGGAAAUAAUGGACAGAAGGAAAAGAGAGAUGGAGAAGGAAGAGAGAGAAAGAGAAGGAGGCAGCCCUGGAGGAGACAAGGCAAACCCUGAACUGUUCAGGGGCCAAGCUUAAGGAGCUACUUGGGCUUUUCCAGGCAAACGACCUCUGGCUUCUUGCCCUGGCCAACCACAGAGGACAAUGUGAGGCGAGUUUGUUUGGUGAUGUGUUUUCUGCUGGCCCUGUUUGUUUGUUUUUCAUUUUUCUGGUAUUGGACAGAUCUGGGGUGAAGGAAGAGGGAGACAGGGUUGUGGCUGGCAUUGAUAGUGGUCCUUGGGCUGGGCUCUGGGCUGCCCAGAGCCCCCCUUUAGUGGGGGCUUAUGGGCAUUGGAGCUGAACUUUUGAUGUCCCUGGAAGGGGGCCUUUUUGUAGGUGCCCAGAGCCAGGUGGCCUUCCCAAGCCUGGAGAUGGUUUGCCCUAAGCUCUUUGUCUCUGUCUUUCCCCACCCUGGCAAGAAAGAAUUAGUCCUUGAGGCCUGGGCUCCUUGCCUGUGUAGCCAGGAUGUCGUGCUGGGCUGGGGAGCCCAUGGGGGUAGCAAGAGCAGCUGCUUCCAGAUUGGUGCUGGGGAACGCAGGGGCAGUCCACGAGAGCCAGCCUUCUCCCCAGCCCCGAUGAUGAGUCUGGCUUUCUCUCCCGUCCCACAGCCCUUGGAAGCCAACCUAACAAGUUCUAUUAAAGUUAAUGAAACACAAUGAUUCCUCUGUUUGCUUGGUUACAACUCAUUACGAGUUGCUCUUGCUUGCUCGGCUUUUGCAGAGGAGAUUCAUUUGAGUAGCCAGUGCUUGGCCUUUGUCCCCCUAAUUUUUACUGGCCCAUUAACAAGAUCAGACACUUUGGCUGACCAGGAAUAUCUAGUACCCAAGUCCCAACAAAACCCAUUGGGUGGAGUUUCAGAUGACCUUUUGAGUCUAAAUUAGCCUAAAAACAUGCUGCCGCCCUUCCUCCCUCUGUUGCUUCCCUAUAUCCAAACUCAGUUUUAUAUGUAGGUACAAUAGGAGUAUGCAGAGAUUUCAGAAGUUAGGAGAUGCUUUUCCAGCCUCUUUAGAAUGUAUCUCAACCCACUGAUUUAGAGAAGUUCCCUAGUAAGAGCUCCAGCUCGAUUUAAGGGCUUUCCUCCCCCAUUUAAAUGGAAAUAAACUGAACAUUGUUAGUCACUUAUACUUUGGUGUGAAUUAGUUCAUAUUGUCACUUUAAGGGGAUUUGGGAGUCUCCUAAAUUGUAUACAAACUUUUGUCCACAUUAUCCAUUCUUCCAGAGAGAGGUUUUCUAUAGCUUUCUUCAAAAUUUCCAUAACCGUCCCCCCACCCCCUACCCCAACACGUACACACACACACACACAAACUCUCUCUCUCUCAAAAGGUUAACAACCUCUGUGUUAGUAGAAGAGUGGGCCGUAACUGGGGCACAGAAGACAAACUCUCCUUCCUUCACCAUCUGCUUGGCCAGUCCUGCCUCUAAGGAGGGACCUUCCCCUCCUCCUUGAGUUCCUUAUCCACAGACCUCCCAUUGUCACCACAGCUCAAUCAUGUGCUUCCCAAAUCUUAAAACCAACCUCAAGUUGGUGGGGAGGAGUCAAAAGGAGAGCCCUUGAACUCUAUGUUGAUUUACAUGCCGAGGCUGUAAAUGAUAGGUUUACAUGCUGGUGUAAAUACUCAUAAACUCGCAGUAAGUGCAGGGCAUCACAUGCUUUCAGUGUCCAGAUCCUCUGCAGCCCGUACAGGCCUGGCAUUCUCAGGGUCAGGGAGGAGAGCGCCGAGUUGGCAGCAGCUAGCAUGACAGGGGCUGACUAUGACUAUGGAGGAAAAGGGCGUGCUUGGAGUUGGUCUCUAAACCCUCAUCCUCUCCCAUACAGCAGGUGGCUUCUGCACAGUGAUACCUUGGCAUGACUCCCCCUGCUGCUCAGCCAGCCUGACUGUUCUUUUGGGUUAAAGCAUUGUCUCCAGAAGGUCCCUGUUAAAAUGCAAAGGGGCUUCUUGCAGGGUGACUUGGGCUGGUUGGCUGACUGGCUGUCACUCAACAGAAAACAGAGACCCCAGAUCAGGGAGGUUAAGGUUUGGGAGAAAGGUUCAGGUGGGUCAAUACUAUAGCUAUAUGAAGUUGAUUUAAAUGGCUUUCCAGGUGUUCUCCCUAAUUCCACUCUUGGGGGCUGAGAAUCUAUCCUUCAUAUGGCAGCCAGAGUCGUUUUAAAGCUGGGCCAUACAACCUCAACGUGAUUGACGUUUGUUGGGGGGCCAUCCUAUGCAUUGUAGCACAUUUAGCAGCAUCCCUGGCCUCUACCCACUAGGUGCCAGCAGCAGCACUCCCUCCCCACGUUGCGACAGCCAAAAAUGUCUACAGACAUUGACACAUGUCCCCUGGGGGAGGGGAGUGAAAUCAUACCCCCUAUCUUCACUUCCCCCUGCCCCACUGAGAAUCUCCAUCAUAAAGUGUAAGUCAGCCCAUGUUACUCCCUGGUCAAAAAUCCUACCAUGUCUUCUCAUUGUUCUGAGCAUGAAAUCCGCCGUUUGGCCCAGCCUUCAAGGCCUUGUGUAGUCCAGCCUUGCCUCCCUCUCCUGCCCCACCUUGUACCCCUCUGCUGUCAUCUACCAUCACCCUUUAGCCACAUAUAACCCUUUUUGACAUACCUCGAUAAACCAAGCUCUUUCUUGGACAGGGUGGAAGAUGGAGAGAUAUGGGCAGAUUUAGAGUAAGUUUCAGAGGCCCUAAUUUCUUUGGAUUUUACUGGGAGGCCUUUUCUUUUCGCUUUUUUGAGAUGGAGUUUAACUCUUGUCGCCCAGGCUGGAGUACAAUGGCGUGAUCUCGGCUCACUGCAACCUCUGCCUCCUGGUUUCAAGCAAUUCUCCUGAUUCAGCCUCCUGAGUAGCUGGGAUUACAAGCGCUUGCCACCAUGCCCGGCUAAUUUUUGUAUUUUUUAGUAGAGACAGGGUUUCACCAUGUUGGCCGGGCUGGUCUUGAACUCCUGAUCUCAGAACGUAAGCUCCAUCAGAGCAGGGACCAUGUCUGGCUUGUUCACUAUCGUGUCCUCAUCAUCUCCUGUACUGCCUGCCACAUGAACAAUGGCCAUUAACAGGCAUGGAACUGGAGCAGAAAUGGAAUGAACCCUAGGGGCCUGGGAGCCUGGAGGGGUGUAGGAGUGGGGAGGGGAUUGGGGAGACAGGCGGCAGAGGAAAGCGCCUGCCCUCGCCUCCUCCCAUCACCCCCUAUACCCCUGUCCCUAAUGAGGUGCUUCUGGCGGCACCUGACUUUUCCAUUGCAAACACCACUUGACUCUCGGCCCUUCACACUCUCAUGAGGUUCUAAGGGGCUGCACAGGCGCCGCCCACCCCAGCCAUGCCCUGGGACUCACCACACACCAGGAAGGCCGGGAGCUGCAGCAAGGGGACAGCUUAAAACAGCCCCACCAACACCCCAAAGUGGGUCUCCCAGUUCCCCGAGAAGGCCUGGAUGCCCUGCUGAAGGGUGAGCAGGGCCAUGUGGGUGACUUGGAGGACCCAAUUCCCCGGCCAUGGGAACCCCCAGCCUGGGCUUUCUUUGGGGGUAGCUGAGACAACGAGCCCCCACCCAGAGCAGGAGAUGACGCAUUUUUUCUGUGGCCACAAGCCACUUUGACGGGUCCGCCCCACUGGGGAGCAACCGAAACCUCAUCCCACCCAAAGCGGCCUUUGUCUGCACUACAUAUUUGUCUUAUUUGGAAGAUUUUUGUGGGUUUUCCUGUCUUUCUCCAGCGCUCACUGCCCUAAGGGGGACGAAGGCCAUGGCGGAGCUGAGGGAAGGGGGUGAGAGGCAUUCUUGGGGCGCUGUGCCUGGUGGUCUGCAGCACAUUUGGGGGUGGGAGAGAAAUCCACCCCACACACCCUCGGCGCCCCAGUGAUGCCUUGGCCCCAGGCCACACUCUGGGCCUUGCCUGUCCUCUGUGGACUCGUGCCCCUCCUGGUCCUCCCAGAGCUGUUUCCUCUCCAUCUUCUCUCAGCCUCCUCAGCUCACUCUCCAAUACUUCUGUUUAUUCCCUCAUGUUCCAUCCUUCCAGCCAGCUUGGCACCUCAUCAUUUCCUACCUCCCCCGUCAUGGGACCCUCUGCUUUCUUUCUACCUGUCUGAAUUCUGAAGACUCUCCCAGGGCUUGUUCCCCCAUCUUGCCUCCUCCUGGGAGCCUCCCUGGACUACUGUAGCGCUUGGCAGGAUCUCCUCCUUCUGAAAUGUAAAAGUAUGUGUUUUCUAUCCUUUCUGUGAUUCUAAACACACCCUGCCCCUAUACCACCUGCCCAGCUAAAUAGAGGCCAGAGGCCAUGGCUUUUGUGCCUUGGCGUCCAAGCCCCAUCCUGCCUUGUACAAAGCAAUUGCUCAACUAAUAUUUGUUGGUUUGGGGCUUCUUAAGGGCUACCCAUGAGAUUACCAACAAAUUAGAGAAUUUCAGUGAUGGAAGGGACCUAAGAGCUUGAAUUCUUGCUAAGGGGUGUCUGGGUUCAGCUUACAUACCUUUAAUGACAGGGAUCUUACCACUUCCUGGGGCAACCCAUUCCCUUGCCUGUAACUCUGACCAUAAGAAAGUUCUUCCCCACGUUGAGCUAAAACCUGCUGCCUUCUGGCUUUCCCCACCCUACUCCCAACUAGGUCACAUCAAACUAUUCCAGUCCUCUUUCCUCACGACCACCCUUCAGAUAUUUGAGGGCAGCAAUCUCCUACCUCUGCAGUCUUUUCUUUUCCAGGGGGAAACACCUGUAGUCCUAACCUUCAGUGCCCCAAUGCCCCUGAUGACCAUGGACUUUGGGUAUUCCCCCCCACCCCUGUGCUGGGCCUCUCCCACAUCCCUGCUGAACUCAUUCUUCUCACAAAAUCCCC